AUUGAACGCUGGCGGCAUGCCUUACACAUGCAAGUCGAACGGCAGCACGGGUGCUUGCACCUGGUGGCGAGUGGCGAACGGGUGAGUAAUAUAUCGGAACGUACCUUAUUGUGGGGGAUAACGCAGCGAAAGCUGUGCUAAUACCGCAUAAUCCCUAAGGGGGAAGCGGGGGACCGUAAGGCCUCGCGCAAUUAGAGCGGCCGAUACCUGAUUAGCUAGUUGGUGAGGUAAAGGCUCACCAAGGCAACGAUCAGUAGCUGGUCUGAGAGGACGAUCAGCCACACUGGGACUGAGACACGGCCCAGACUCCUACGGGAGGCAGCAGUGGGGAAUUUUGGACAAUGGGGGCAACCCUGAUCCAGCAAUGCCGCGUGAGUGAAGAAGGCCUUCGGGUUGUAAGGCUCUUUUGUCAGGGAAGAAACAGCAGCUCUAACACAGUUUGCGAAUGACGGUACCUGAAGAAUAAGCACCGGCUAACUACGUGCCAGCCGCCGCAGUAA
Molecule: ribosomal RNA, 500 nt
Filed under: uncultured bacterium
Lineage: Bacteria
Description: partial 16S ribosomal RNA
Rfam family: Bacterial small subunit ribosomal RNA
Source: RNAcentral